CGGGAAACGAAAGGGUCUUAGUGCUGUGACGUCUGGGCCCAUCCUAUUGGCCUGGACCAGGUACAUCUAUCAGUGUCUACCAAGAUUUGCACCAGACAUAUCCACGUCCCCUCCAGCUGGCUGCAGGAGAUGCUGAGGUCGUCCUGGCUGUGCUUCUGUAGCCUCCCUUGGUAUUUCCCCUUACCUCUGGGUCUCAAUCCGUGCUCCACGAAGGCAGUGCCCCAUCAGUCACGCUCAGCACUCUGACUCCACAGUCUGUACAGUGCCUGGCGCUGAGUGUGCACUUAAUGAACACUCGCUGAGUGGAUGAUUCCAUAACUGCAUGAAUUAGAAACAACCUACUCAACUUUAAAUGAAGAUGACUCAAUCCGCAGACCCAGAAACCGUGGAACAAUUACAACAUUCAAAACAGCUUGUGUGUAACGGCUCG
Physeter macrocephalus (sperm whale) is the source of this 430-nucleotide long non-coding RNA. RefSeq lists it as uncharacterized. Lineage: Eukaryota; Metazoa; Chordata; Mammalia; Artiodactyla; Physeteridae. The transcript is spliced from 3 exons. The record is from RefSeq and is a predicted model, not a curated record.